This 307-nucleotide ribosomal RNA is filed under the name uncultured bacterium. RNAcentral's name for it is "partial 16S ribosomal RNA". It matches the Rfam family "Bacterial small subunit ribosomal RNA", at positions 506 to 809 of the family's 1533-position model. The record is from RNAcentral.
AGACAGCAGUCGCCGCGGGAAUACGAAGGGUGCAAGCGUUACUCGGAAUUACUGGGCGUAAAGCGUGCGUAGGUGGUGGUUUAAGUCCGUUGUGAAAGCCCUGGGCUCAACCUGGGAAUUGCAGUGGAUACUGGGUCACUAGAGUGUGGUAGAGGAUAGUGGAAUUUCCGGUGUAGCAGUGAAAUGCGUAGAGAUCGGAAGGAACAUCUGUGGCGAAGGCGACUAUCUGGGCCAACACUGACACUGAGGCACGAAAGCGUGGGGAGCAAACAGGAUUAGAGACCCCUGUAGUCCCUGUCUCUUAUCC